GGAGGAGGCGGCGGUGGUGUUGGUGGCGGGUAUGGAAGUGUUCGUGGAAGAUAAACAUUAACAGCUUCAUCAUCAACCAAUAAAGAUUGUUUAAAAUUAUAUAUACUAGUUGUUUAUUGAACCUCAGUUACUGUACGAUGUUGUUUAUUGAACCUCAGUUACUGUACGAUGUUGUUUAUUGAACCUCAGUUACUGUACGAUGUUGUUUAUUGAACCUCAGUUACUGUACGAUGUUGUUUAUUGAACCUCAGUUACUGUACGAUGUUGUUUAUUGAACCUCAGUUACUGUACGAUGUUGUUUAUUGAACCUCAGUUACUG
Long non-coding RNA from Homarus americanus (American lobster), 319 nucleotides. RefSeq lists it as uncharacterized. The transcript has 2 exons. The record is from RefSeq and is a predicted model, not a curated record. Lineage: Eukaryota; Metazoa; Arthropoda; Malacostraca; Decapoda; Nephropidae.